AAAAGCACUUUGAAGAGAGAGUUAAAGAGGACGUGAAACCGAUAAGAUGGAAACGGAUAGAGCUAGCGUAUCUAAUUUGUAUUCAUCUGCUCAACCGGUUGGAGUUGGCCCCAUCUGUCCCUAGCUAUGGGCAAUGUUGGGUUGACUGCCGUUUCGCAACCAAUUGGAUUGGGUGGUGCAUUUGCAAUGGAGUGCGCUGAGGCGUGCUGGUUAGCGGUUGGAAGCUAGUUUAGAGGAUGCUUAGCUCUUACGAGUUAGGUAAACCCUGGGCUGGUGAAAGACUGUUUAGCUGGCGCUGUUAAAUGGGUUUGAUGUAUUGGCGGUUGUGAUUAGGCGUCUAGUGGCGGUCGCUUGCGACACGUGCUUGUUCUGCUUGGUCAUUGCUGUUCGUACCCAGGCUCGUGGACCUCGGUGUAAAAGCUGGUCAUCUAUCCGACCCGUCUUGAAACACGGACCAAGGAGUUUAGCGUGUGCGCGAGUCAUUGGGUGUUUAAAACCCAAAGGCGUAAUGAAAGUAAAGGUUGCCUCUGGUUAACUGAUAUGUGAUCCGGUUCGGCCACGGCCUGCCGGCGCAGCAUAACCCCGCCUCAAUUGCUUGCAAUGGGGCGGAGGUAGAGCGUACGCGCUGAGACCCGAAAGAUGGUGAACUAUGCCUGAGCAGGAUGAAGCCAGAGGAAACUCUGGUGGAAGUCCGAAGCGGUUCUGACGUGCAAAUCGAUCGUCUGACUUGGGUAUAGGGGCGAAAGACUAAUCGAACCAUCUAGUAGCUGGU
Molecule: ribosomal RNA, 772 nt
Filed under: Tylenchidae sp. 213
Lineage: Eukaryota; Metazoa; Nematoda; Chromadorea; Rhabditida; Tylenchidae
Description: eukaryotic LSU rRNA
Rfam family: Eukaryotic large subunit ribosomal RNA
Source: RNAcentral